RNAcentral lists this unclassified non-coding RNA (206 nucleotides) under Melitaea cinxia (Glanville fritillary). RNAcentral describes it as "misc RNA ENSMCXG00005008552.1". Lineage: Eukaryota; Metazoa; Arthropoda; Insecta; Lepidoptera; Nymphalidae. The record is from RNAcentral.
UGAUACCAAAGCUAACAGAAUACCACUUAAAUCCUGAUAAAUUAAACAAGAUGAAAGUUAAAUUUGCAUCUCAGGUGUUUAGUCGCAAUAUGGGAUAUCUAGCAGAUAAAGGAAUUCUACCCAUGGAAUGCAAGGAAACUGCAGAUCUGCUGUUAUUUAUGGACAACGUCUUUGACUCCGUCAAUGGAAGUCAUACUAAAAAUAAA